CCCAUUCCGAACUCAGAAGUGAAACGAAAUAGCGCCGAUGGUAGUGUGGGGUUUCCCCAUGUGAGAGUAGGACAUCGCCAGGC
This 83-nucleotide ribosomal RNA is filed under the name Vibrio parahaemolyticus. RNAcentral also lists the same sequence under 1 other name. Lineage: Bacteria; Pseudomonadati; Pseudomonadota; Gammaproteobacteria; Vibrionales; Vibrionaceae. The record is from RNAcentral.